CGAACGCUGGCGGCGUGCCUAAUACAUGCAAGUGGGACGCAAGAGAACACACUGUGCUUGCACACCGUGUUUUCUUGAGUCGCGAACGGGUGAGUAACGCGUAGGUAACCUGCCUAUUAGCGGGGGAUAACUAUUGGAAACGAUAGCUAAUACCGCAUAAUAUUAAUUAUUGCAUGAUAAUUGAUUGAAAGAUGCAAGCGCAUCACUAGUAGAUGGACCUGCGUUGUAUUAGCUAGUUGGUAAGGUAAGAGCUUACCAAGGCGACGAUACAUAGCCGUCCUGAGAGGGUGAUCGCCACACUGGGACUGAGACACGGCCCAGACUCCUACGGGAGGCAGCAGUAGGGAAUCUUCGGCAAUGGACGAAAGUCUGACCGAGCAACGCCGCGUGAGUGAAGAAGGUUUUCGGAUCGUAAAGCUCUGUUUGUA
RNAcentral lists this ribosomal RNA (428 nucleotides) under Streptococcus mutans. Its description in RNAcentral is "bacterial SSU rRNA". It matches the Rfam family "Bacterial small subunit ribosomal RNA", at positions 30 to 441 of the family's 1533-position model. The record is from RNAcentral. Lineage: Bacteria; Bacillati; Bacillota; Bacilli; Lactobacillales; Streptococcaceae.